Molecule: transfer RNA, 56 nt
Filed under: Ogataea angusta
Lineage: Eukaryota; Fungi; Ascomycota; Pichiomycetes; Pichiales; Pichiaceae
Description: partial transfer RNA
Rfam family: tRNA
About the family: Transfer RNA (tRNA) molecules are approximately 80 nucleotides in length. Their secondary structure includes four short double-helical elements and three loops (D, anti-codon, and T loops).
Source: RNAcentral
UGGUUUAGUGGUAAAAUUCGUCGUUGCCAUCGACGAGCCCCCGGUUCGAUUCCGGG